RNAcentral lists this ribosomal RNA (499 nucleotides) under uncultured bacterium. RNAcentral describes it as "bacterial SSU rRNA". It matches the Rfam family "Bacterial small subunit ribosomal RNA", at positions 194 to 709 of the family's 1533-position model. The record is from RNAcentral.
CUCCGGAGCAAAGGUUUACCGCCUUGAGAUCGGCGAUCGUCCUAUCAGCUAGUUGGCGGGGUAAAAGCCCACCAAGGCUAUGACGGGUAGCAGGUGUGAGAGCACGACCUGCAACAUCGGGACUGAGACACUGCCCGGACUCCUACGGGAGGCUGCAGCGACGAAUCUUCCGCAAUGGGCGCAAGCCUGACGGAGCGACGCCGCGUGUGGGAUGAAGCGCCUUCGGUGUGUAAACCACUGUCAGGAAAUAGAACCAAUGAUCAUUUCCAAAGGAAGAGACGGCUAACCCUGUGCCAGCAGCCCGCGGUAAUACAGGGGUCUCGAGCGUUAAUCGGAAUUACUGGGCUUAAAGGGUGCGUARGCUGGCCCGCAAGUGCUUUGUGAAAUCCCCUGGCUCAACCAGGGAACUGCUUGGCAUACUGCGGGUCUUUGAGGAAAGUAGGGGUUGCCARAACUGUARGUGGAGCCGGUGAAAUGCCGUAGAUAUCUACAGGAAUGC